CGGGUAGCAAUACUUGGUGGCGACCGGCGCACGGGUGAGUAACGCGUAUGCAACCUACCCAUAACAGGGGGAUAGCCCGAAGAAAUUCGGAUUAAACCCGCAUAACAUUAUCGGAUCGCAUGGUUUGAUAAUUAAAUUUACGGAGGUUAUGGAUGGGCAUGCGUGACAUUAGCUAGUUGGUAGGGUAACGGCCUACCAAGGCUACGAUGUCUAGGGGGCCUGAGAGGGUAGUCCCCCACACUGGUACUGAGACACGGACCAGACUCCUACGGGAGGCAGCAGUGAGGAAUAUUGCGCAAUGGAGGCAACUCUGACGCAGCCAUGCCGCGUGAAGGAUGACGGUUCUAUGAAUUGUAAACUUCUUUUGUAUAGGAAGAACCCCAUGUUCGUGAACGUGGCUGACGGUACUAUACGAAUAAGCAUCGGCUAACUCCGUGCCAGCAGCCGCGGUAAUACGGAGGAUGCAAGCGUUAUCCGGAUUUGUUGGGUUUAAAGGGUGCGUAGGCGGAAGAAUAAGUCAGUGGUGAAAUCCUGCAGCUUAACUGCAGAACUGCCAUUGAUACUGUUUUUCUUGAGUGCGAUUGAGGAAGGCGGAAUGUGUAAUGUAGCGGUGAAAUGCUUAGAUAUUACACAGAACACCGAUUGCGUAGGCAGCUUACUAAGUCGUAACUGACGCUGAGGCACGAAAGCGUGGGGAUCGAACAGGAUUAGAUACCCUGGUAGUCCACGCCUAAACGAUGAUCACUAGCUGUUGGCGAUACACAGUCAGGGGCAAAGCGAAAGCAUUAAGUGAUCCACCUGGGGAGUACGGUCGCAAGACUGAAACUCAAAGGAAUUGACGGGGGCCCGCACAAGCGGAGGAACAUGUGGUUUAAUUCGAUGAUACGCGAGGAACCUUACCUGGGCUUGAAAGGGGAAUGACGUCUCGGGAAACCGGGAUUCUCUUCGGAGCGUUCUCCUAGGUGCUGCAUGGUUGUCGUCAGCUCGUGCCGUGAGGUGUCGGGUUAAGUCCCAUAACGAGCGCAACCCUUAUCGUUAGUUGCCAGCGGGUCAUGCCGGGGACUCUAACGAAACUGCCGGUGUAAACCGAGAGGAAGGUGGGGAUGACGUCAAAUCAGCACGGCCCUUAUGUCCAGGGCUACACACGUGUUACAAUGGUCGGUACAGAGGGCAGCUACCCCGCGAGGGGAUGCAAAUCUCGAAAGCCGGUCUUAGUUCGGAUUGGAGUCUGCAACUCGACUCCAUGAAGCUGGAUUCGCUAGUAAUCGCGCAUCAGCCACGGCGCGGUGAAUACGUUCCCGGGCCUUGUACACACCGCCCGUCAAGCCAUGGAAGCUGGGGGUACCUGAAGUCUGUAACCGCGAGGAGCGGCCUAGGUAAAACCAGUGACUGGGGCUAAGUCAUAACAAGGUA
Molecule: ribosomal RNA, 1413 nt
Filed under: metagenome
Description: bacterial SSU rRNA
Rfam family: Bacterial small subunit ribosomal RNA
Source: RNAcentral